CUGGCAAUUAUACGUGCAUAUAUGGGUCAACCGCACACAAUAAUUUGCGGGAGUAAAGAGGUACAAACCGAGGGUUCUUGGGAUGCGAAGAACAACAAAAAGAGCUAAAGACAUCUUGAUCUACAAAGGGGUAACAAAUCUUCGACGCCAAAUAUAAUCCCAAAGUCAAUCAGGAAGGCGAUUUGCGAGGAACAGCCUUGUGAGAAACAUCACAACAGCACAUGUAAGUUUAUUUUUUAUGGUUUUUUUAAUAAAAUAAAAUAUUAUUUCGAGUGGGGAUGAUGUACUUUGCUCAUUUUAGUGCAGAUGUAGUGAAUUGAACGAUUAUUAUGAUGAGUAUUUUCAGAAUAUUUCUUCCAGUGUAAAAUUUGAAGUUAGAUGUUUGGCAGUGGAGUUUAGUAUGGUGGAAACUGUUGGAGCCUCAACUUAAAAUUUCGAAGCAUCAUUUGCCUUAUUUCUCGAAUUGUGACCAAAAUCUUUUGUACCAAAAGAAUCACUAUUUUUCGUGCCUUCAUUAUUAAAUAGGAAAAUCCUUUGAAGCCUAUAUUGGCUA
Long non-coding RNA from Salvia miltiorrhiza (redroot sage), 553 nucleotides. RefSeq lists it as uncharacterized. The transcript has 2 exons. NCBI's taxonomy places the organism in Eukaryota, Viridiplantae, Streptophyta, Magnoliopsida, Lamiales, Lamiaceae. The record is from RefSeq and is a predicted model, not a curated record.